Molecule: ribosomal RNA, 301 nt
Filed under: uncultured bacterium
Lineage: Bacteria
Description: partial 16S ribosomal RNA
Rfam family: Bacterial small subunit ribosomal RNA
Source: RNAcentral
CAGUAGCCGCGGUAAUACGGAGGGGGCUAGCGUUGUUCGGAAUUACUGGGCGUAAAGCGCACGUAGGCGGCUUGGUAAGUUAGAGGUGAAAGCCCGGAGCCCAACUCCGGAAUUGCCUCUAAGACUGCCGAGCUAGUAGGUGAGAGAGGUAAGUGGAAUUCCGAGUGUAGAGGUGAAAUUCGCAGAUAUUCGGAAGAACACCAGUGGCGAAGGCGGCUUACUGGCUCAUUCUAGACGCUGAGGUGCGAAAGCGUGGGGAGCAAACAGGAUUAGAUACCCCUGUAGUCCCUGUCUCUUAUAC